Molecule: ribosomal RNA, 430 nt
Filed under: bacterium
Lineage: Bacteria
Also listed under: 2 other names
Description: bacterial SSU rRNA
Rfam family: Bacterial small subunit ribosomal RNA
Source: RNAcentral
GUGGGGAAUAUUGGACAAUGGGCGCAAGCCUGAUCCAGCCAUACCGCGUGGGUGAAGAAGGCCUUCGGGUUGUAAAGCCCUUUUGUUGGGAAAGAAAUCCAGCUGGCUAAUACCCGGUUGGGAUGACGGUACCCAAAGAAUAAGCACCGGCUAACUUCGUGCCAGCAGCCGCGGUAAUACGAAGGGUGCAAGCGUUACUCGGAAUUACUGGGCGUAAAGCGUGCGUAGGUGGUCGUUUAAGUCCGUUGUGAAAGCCCUGGGCUCAACCUGGGAACUGCAGUGGAUACUGGGCGACUAGAGUGUGGUAGAGGGUAGCGGAAUUCCUGGUGUAGCAGUGAAAUGCGUAGAGAUCAGGAGGAACAUCCAUGGCGAAGGCAGCUACCUGGACCAACACUGACACUGAGGCACGAAAGCGUGGGGAGCAAACAGG